Molecule: ribosomal RNA, 468 nt
Filed under: uncultured bacterium
Lineage: Bacteria
Description: partial 16S ribosomal RNA
Rfam family: Bacterial small subunit ribosomal RNA
Source: RNAcentral
GACGAACGCUGGCGGCGUGCUUAACACAUGCAAGUCGAACGGAAAGGCCCUGCUUUUGUGGGGUGCUCGAGUGGCGAACGGGUGAGUAACACGUGAGUAACCUGCCCUUGACUUUGGGAUAACUUCAGGGGACUGGGGCUAAUACCGGAUAGGAGCUCCUGCUGCAUGGUGGUGGUUGGAAAGUUUCGGCGGUUGGGGAUGGACUCGCGGCUUAUCAGCUUGUUGGUGGGGUAGUGGCUUACCAAGGCUUUGACGUGUAGCCGGCCUGAGAGGGUGACCGGCCACAUUGGGACUGAGAUACGGCCCAGAAGCCUACGGGAGGCAGCAGUGGGGAAUAUUGCACAAUGGGCGGAAGCCUGAUGCAGCAACGCCGCGUGCGGGAUGACGGCCUUCGGGUUGUAAACCGCUUUCGCCUGUGACGAAGCGUGAGUGACGGCAAUGGGUAAAGAAGCACCGGCUAACUACGUG